AACACAUGCAAGUCGAGGGGAAACGGCAUUUAGUGCUUGCACCGAAUGGACGUCGACCGGCGCACGGGUGAGUAACGCGUAUCCAACCUACCCAUUACUGUGGGAUAACCUGCCGAAAGGCAGACUAAUACCGCAUGGUCUUCGAUGACGGCAUCAGAUUUGAAGUAAAGAUUUAUCGGUAAUGGAUGGGGAUGCGUCUGAUUAGCUUGUUGGCGGGGUAACGGCCCACCAAGGCAACGAUCAGUAGGGGUUCUGAGAGGAAGGUCCCCCACAUUGGAACUGAGACACGGUCCAAACUCCUACGGGAGGCAGCAGUGAGGAAUAUUGGUCAAUGGGCGCGAGCCUGAACCAGCCAAGUAGCGUGCAGGAUGACGGCCCUAUGGGUUGUAAACUGCUUUUGUAUGGGGAUAAAGUCAAUCACGUGUGAUUGUUUGCAGGUACCAUACGAAUAAGGACCGGCUAAUUCCGUGCCAGCAGCCGCGGUAAUACGGAAGGUCCGGGCGUUAUCCGGAUUUAUUGGGUUUAAAGGGAGCGUAGGCCGGAGAUUAAGUGUGUCUGUGAAAUGUAGACGCUCAACGUCUGACUUGCAGCGCAUACUGGUUUCCUUGAGUACGCACAACGUUGGCGGAAUUCGUCGUGUAGCGGUGAAAUGCUUAGAUAUGACGAAGAACUCCGAUUGCGAAGGCAGCUGACGGGAGCGCAACUGACGCUUAAGCUCGAAGGUGCGGGUAUCGAACAGGAUUAGAUACCCUGGUAGUCCGCACAGUAAACGAUGGAUGCCCGCUGUUGGUACCUGGUAUCAGCGGCUAAGCGAAAGCAUUAAGCAUCCCACAUGGGAGUACGCC
This 845-nucleotide ribosomal RNA is filed under the name uncultured Bacteroidota bacterium. RNAcentral's name for it is "bacterial SSU rRNA". It matches the Rfam family "Bacterial small subunit ribosomal RNA", at positions 50 to 886 of the family's 1533-position model. The record is from RNAcentral. Lineage: Bacteria; Pseudomonadati; Bacteroidota.